This 1446-nucleotide ribosomal RNA is filed under the name uncultured organism. RNAcentral describes it as "16S ribosomal RNA". It matches the Rfam family "Bacterial small subunit ribosomal RNA". The record is from RNAcentral.
CGAACGCUGGCGGCGUGCUUAACACAUGCAAGUCGAACGGAAAGGCCCUGCUUUUGUGGGGUGCUCGAGUGGCGAACGGGUGAGUAACACGUGAGUAACCUGCCCUUGACUUUGGGAUAACUUCAGGAAACUGGGGCUAAUACCGGAUAGGAGCUCCUGCUGCAUGGUGGGGGUUGGAAAGUUUCGGCGGUUGGGGAUGGACUCGCGGCUUAUCAGCUUGUUGGUGGGGUAGUGGCUUACCAAGGCUUUGACGGGUAGCCGGCCUGAGAGGGUGACCGGCCACAUUGGGACUGAGAUACGGCCCAGACUCCUACGGGAGGCAGCAGUGGGGAAUAUUGCACAAUGGGCGGAAGCCUGAUGCAGCAACGCCGCGUGCGGGAUGACGGCCUUCGGGUUGUAAACCGCUUUCGCCUGUGACGAAGCGUGAGUGACGGUAAUGGGUAAAGAAGCACCGGCUAACUACGUGCCAGCAGCCGCGGUGAUACGUAGGGUGCGAGCGUUGUCCGGAUUUAUUGGGCGUAAAGGGCUCGUAGGUGGUUGAUCGCGUCGGAAGUGUAAUCUUGGGGCUUAACCCUGAGCGUGCUUUCGAUACGGGUUGACUUGAGGAAGGUAGGGGAGAAUGGAAUUCCUGGUGGAGCGGUGGAAUGCGCAGAUAUCAGGAGGAACACCAGUGGCGAAGGCGGUUCUCUGGGCCUUUCCUGACGCUGAGGAGCGAAAGCGUGGGGAGCGAACAGGCUUAGAUACCCUGGUAGUCCACGCUGUAAACGGUGGGUACUAGGUGUGGGGUCCAUUCCACGGGUUCCGUGCCGUAGCUAACGCUUUAAGUACCCCGCCUGGGGAGUACGGCCGCAAGGCUAAAACUCAAAGGAAUUGACGGGGCCCCGCACAAGCGGCGGAGCAUGCGGAUUAAUUCGAUGCAACGCGUAGAACCUUACCUGGGUUUGACAUGGAUCGGGAGUGCUCAGAGAUGGGUGUGCCUCUUUUGGGGUCGGUUCACAGGUGGUGCAUGGCUGUCGUCAGCUCGUGUCGUGAGAUGUUGGGUUAAGUCCCGCAACGAGCGCAACCCUUGUUCACUGUUGCCAGCACGUUAUGGUGGGGACUCAGUGGAGACCGCCGGGGUCAACUCGGAGGAAGGUGGGGAUGACGUCAAGUCAUCAUGCCCCUUAUGUCCAGGGCUUCACGCAUGCUACAAUGGCUGGUACAGAGAGUGGCGAGCCUGUGAGGGUGAGCGAAUCUCGGAAAGCCGGUCUCAGUUCGGAUUGGGGUCUGCAACUCGACCUCAUGAAGUCGGAGUCGCUAGUAAUCGCAGAUCAGCAACGCUGCGGUGAAUACGUUCCCGGGGCUUGUACACACCGCCCGUCAAGUCAUGAAAGUUGGUAACACCCGAAGCCGGUGGCCUAACCGUUGUGGGGGAGCCGUCGAAGGUGGGACUGGUGAUUAGGACUA